GGUGUGGCUCAGUUUGGCUAGAGUGCUAGAUUUGGGAUCUAGAGGUCGCAGGUUCAAGUCCUGUCACC
This 68-nucleotide transfer RNA is filed under the name bovine gut metagenome. It matches the Rfam family "tRNA". Rfam says of the family: Transfer RNA (tRNA) molecules are approximately 80 nucleotides in length. The record is from RNAcentral.